RNAcentral lists this long non-coding RNA (1659 nucleotides) under Carassius auratus (goldfish). RNAcentral's name for it is "lncRNA (ENSCARG00000023879.1)". The record is from RNAcentral. Lineage: Eukaryota; Metazoa; Chordata; Actinopteri; Cypriniformes; Cyprinidae.
CUGCUACUUUAAGAGCUUCUGCUGCUGAACUUAAUGUGGAUCUGACACUGCUGUAAAUGUGACGAAUAAAUAAUAAAUAUUUGCUUGCAAAGGUUUAAGACAGGGUUAACUGUCACUUGUCACUUGUCACUUGUUUGUAGUGAUAUUUUUAGGGGGGACAGCCCUCAGAUAGGGGGCUCCUGGUCUUUGUUGGAUGAUGCUAAUCAUGGCGUGUGAAAUGUUUUGAAAAGCUUGUCCACUUUCAACCACUUCUAGAUGUAGUUGAGUGUGUAAACAUUAUGGAAAUAGAAAGCGUACAAGCCGGACAAAAUUUGAGAAGCAGGCUUUAAAAAAUGGGAUUUAUGCAUGAAGAUAAUAAUAAAAUCAAACUUGACACAACAAGCUAGAACAGGAAGAGAAAACUAGAAAAUAAGAAAUGACCACCAUUAGUCAUGACAGAGUCACAUAACUUCAGAAGUUAUUAUACUGUUAUGAUUCACUGAUGUUUUUAACUGUAUAGGGUUGUGUAGUCACUGUGGAUUGUCAUGACUUACUAGUCUAUCACAUGAUUAACUGAUUUAUGUUGUCUCGUAGUGUGUCGGCACGAGCUCCAACCUGGUCACCUCCCUGUUUCCAAUGUUGAAAACAGCCGUGGAGAAGAACAAACCUGUUUUGGCAGUGAGGUACCUGAUGAAAGCCAAAGAGUGGAUCGCUGACAUCAUAACACAAGUGGAUGACAUUGUGAAGAGAUAUGAUAAACACAACGCAAGUGUGAAAACAUGCACCAGUGACGUGUAUCAAGAACAAGCAGAGACCAAAGAAAAAAAAGAGAAAAAAUCUGAUGAGAUGAAGGGUCUGGAGGAUGCUCUGAACAAGCUCCAACUGGAUCUGAAAAGAGUAGUCGACAAAAUGGAGAUGAAUGAGAAUCAAAUAAAAAGAAACACUGAUGAACUGAACAGCUUCAUCAGAAGAUUUCAGGAAGAACAUUGCCACUGGACUGUGAAGUUCCUUGCCUUUUUUAUAGGCUAUCCAGACGCUAUGAAGCAGCCUACUGCCAUCGCUCUGGACAGAGCACUGAAACAACUCGACUCUGAGAAGAGCCUUCUACGAAAUGAAGAGAGGAACAUCAAAAUUUGUCCUCAGUCCUUAUAAGUAAUAAGCAAUAUUUUAAAAUCUAUACAAUGUUUGAUAGGGAGCCAGUGCAGUGUGGACAGGACCGGGCUAAUAUGGUCAUACUUCCUGGUUCUAGUAAGAACUCUUGCUGCUGCAUUUUGGACUAGCUUUUCACAGUGUCUGGGUUGUGUUCCCUGGGUUUCCACUAGGUGUCCUCCGUUCCCUCGGUGUCUGUCACCUUAUCACUUCCUGUUCCCUUAUUUGGUCACCUUCCUCCUUGUUUUAGUUAAUUGAUUGUUCCCCACUUGUCUCCUGUUCCCUCAUUAUCCUUCUGUGUAUUUAUACCCGGUCUGUCUGAGUCUGUGUUACGGAGUCCUUGUUGAAUGUUAAUUCAAGUUCUGGUUUUGACCCUGCCUGGACUGUUUACCCAUUUGGAUUACCCUUUAAUAAAAUCUCAUACCUGCAUUUGGUUGUCUAUGAAACCUAUGUUAUUCUGUGGGCACCACUUAACAUGCAUCUCGUCACCAUGGUAGGCAGGGAGGGGACCAGAGCAUAUCAUUCACUCAG